Molecule: ribosomal RNA, 382 nt
Filed under: uncultured Desulfobacterium sp.
Lineage: Bacteria; Pseudomonadati; Thermodesulfobacteriota; Desulfobacteria; Desulfobacterales; Desulfobacteriaceae
Description: bacterial SSU rRNA
Rfam family: Bacterial small subunit ribosomal RNA
Source: RNAcentral
UCUUGAAAGAGAGAUGUGCCCUUCGGGAGGCCCGGAGACAGUGCUGCAUGGCUGUCGUCAGCUCGUGUCGUGAGAUGUUGGGUUAAGUCCCGCAACGAGCGCAACCCUUAUCUUUAGUUACCAGCACUUCGGGUGGGGACUCUAGAGAUACUGCCCCGGUUAACGGGAGGAAGGUGGGGAUGACGUCAAGUCCUCAUGGCCCUUAUGCCCAGGGCUACACACGUGCUACAAUGGGCGGUACAAGGGUAGCGAUGCCGCGAGGUGAAGCCAAUCCCAAAAAGCCGUCCACAGUUCGGAUUGGAGUCUGCAACUCGACUCCAUGAAGCCGGAAUCGCUAGUAAUCGUGGAUCAGCAUGCCACGGUGAAUACGUUCCCGGGCCUU